Molecule: ribosomal RNA, 647 nt
Filed under: Acarospora sp. EH-2023b
Lineage: Eukaryota; Fungi; Ascomycota; Lecanoromycetes; Acarosporales; Acarosporaceae
Description: SSU rRNA
Rfam family: Bacterial small subunit ribosomal RNA
Source: RNAcentral
CUAGUUGUAUUAUUAGUUAAUGCAAGAUCGACUACGUCGACUAAAGUUCUAGGUAGAAUAAUGAUGAUGACAAUUUUUUACCUAUAUGUCUUGACCAAGUCUCGUGCCAGCAGUCGCGGUAAUACGUGGAAGACUAGUGUUAUUCAUCUUUAUUAGGUUUAAAGGGUACCUAGACGGUAUUUCUAGCCCAAAAUAGGGUACGGAUUUACUAGAGUUUUAUGUGAGGAGGGGAGUACUCGUGGAGUAGAGAUGAAAUUUUGUUAUACUAUGAGGUAACUGGUGGCGGCGAAAGCAACCUUCUAUGUAUAAACUGACGUUGAGGGACGAAGGCUUGGGUAGCAAAUAGGAUUAGAUACCCUAGUAGUCCAAGCAGACAAUUCUGAAUGCCAUAGAUUAGAUUAUUUUUGAUCUAUAAAUGAAAGUGUAAGCAUUCCACCUUAGGAGUAAUGUGGCAACACAGGAACUGAAAUCAUUAGACCGUUUCUGAAACCAGUAGUGAAGUAUGUUAUUUAAUUUGAUGGUCCACAAAAAACCUUACCACAACUUGAAUAUUUUUUAAUUAAUACAAGCGUUGCACGGCUGUCUUCAGUUAAUGUCGUGAGAUUUUGGUUAACUCCAUUAAUUAACGUAAACCCUUACUUUAUUUA